This 2195-nucleotide long non-coding RNA is filed under the name Lynx canadensis (Canada lynx). RNAcentral's name for it is "lncRNA (ENSLCNG00005007343.1)". The record is from RNAcentral. Lineage: Eukaryota; Metazoa; Chordata; Mammalia; Carnivora; Felidae.
GAAGAAUCAUCUCCUGCUUCAAUCUGCUGCUGGAUAGGAACUAAUCAGAGAGAGGCGGAAGGCGGAGAAGGAGGGAGUCAAGGGCUUUCCCGAUCACAAAUCUCACCUCCACUCCAACUCUCUUUAUACUUUUCUUGCAAAAAUAAUAAUCGAGAUAAGGAGGUGGUAGGGUUUCCAAAAACAAAAAUCGUAACCUUCAACCAUCUGGGGAAGACAAAAAUCCCACCCACCGCAACUCUCAGUUCGAAAGUAAAGGUGAGUUCAAAAUGUUCGGGUGUGAGGGGUGCGGGUGAAGUCGAAAAUUGCAAAUGUUACCGAGCCGGCUGCAGCAGAACAGGAGAAACUACGCUCCUGCGAGCGGGGACUCCGGAGUUGCUGGUCUCGCGGCGCUCGCCCUGCCCGCCCUGCUCGCCCUCAGCGGCUGUUUACCCUCGCCGAACUGCAGUGUAAAGGAGCAGAUGUUUUGCCAAACAUCCUGAUGUGUUGCUUUUUCUUAUGGGAGUGCAUAACUGUUCCUUCUGAUGCAUCAACUUGACAGCUGGUUGAUUUCAUGGAGCUGCUAAGAAGCCAUUAGUGGUGUCAUUGAAUUGAAACAGAACAGUCACUCCCAGCUUGAACUGCAAUUGUUAAUGUCUUUGUUGCUACUUUUGUGUUACUAUACAAGAUGUAGGAUAUCACAGUUGCAUGAAAGUUUCUGUUUUCUGUCUUACCUCCUUGAAUUAGUGAAAGAAUGUGUUAAACUUGAAUACUUUUGGUUUAAAGAUUUCUCAAAGAAAAAGAUUUUAAGUUGUAGUUUCGGACCUACUCCUAGCUAGGACUACUAAAAGAAGUGAUUUAGCACGAACUAAAUAAUGUGAUUUUGAUCCCUAGUUGAGAUUAUAUCAUCUUAAUGAUUUUUAAUAUACUUGAUAUCCUGAGGGAUUAAUUAAAUUACCUAGUUAGGUAUUUUAAGAGGUUUUUGAUUAUAUAAAAUUAAGUAUUUCAUACCACAAGGUUUUAAAAGAUUGUACUUUAUUUAAUAAAUACUGACUUGUUUGAUUAAAUAUUUCUUUAAACUUUUGUUGCAGAAGGUAAUCAGAAGAGAAAAGAAUUGCUGAGGAAAAGGCAGUUUUAUGUUUAAUUUUCUGUAUAAGAAGGUGAAGAUAAUAAAUAAUUGGUGAUCAUUUAAUGAUUUUAAAAUGGGAAUUAUAUUUUUAUUGUACUAAUAACUUUUAUUGAUAGUUUCAACUAUCAGACUAUGGUACUAAAUGGUGUCAAAUCAUCCCAUUGGUGCCUAAGUGUUUUCUACUUAUUUUAUUUAUUUAUUUAUUUGUUUAUUUAUUUAUUUAGUGGGAGAAGAGAUAGAAAAGAGGAAGAAUAAAGUGAUUAUUCUAAAAGAGAAAACAUUUUUUGAAAAAUUGUGUAAAAAAUCUUUAGGAUAAUAAGUUUAAGGAUAUAAUAUACUUUAUUCACUAUGUCAGGAGAUCUUUUGUAGUUCCAGUAUUUAUUCAUUUUUAAUUUUUAAAUCUUUAAAACAGUUUUUCAAAGAGCAUAAAAUUCAUAACAUUUAAAAUAGGAUGCCUUUAAAAAUAUUAAAAUGUGAAAUUGAUGAUGCGAAUAUAUGAUUUGCUAAGUUAAAUAGCAUUAGAAGGAUUUCCUAUACAAUAUAAACAAAUUGUAAGCACUUUUAGUACAUGCUGAGUGAUACCAGAAUUAUGAUUUCCUGAAAUUAUAAGUUUAUAGAAAUGUUUUCCUUUUAAAUAGAUCACACAUUACUAAGAUUUCUUUCAGGUAAUAUGCUUUCUCAACUCUUUUUAUGUAAUAGCUUUACAAUUCCUUAAAAAGAAAAGUAUUCUGUUAACCUUAGCCUGUGAUUCAGUUUUUAAGAAAUACACUUACUCAUAAGAUGUUUGUGUCAAGGCAGAUACUCAUAUAAACUGGAUUAAGGUAAAGAUAUUAAAUGUCAACUUUUUAAAAAAGGAAUCUCAAUGCUUAACUCAUUUUUACAGGUAAUGUAGUCUUAAUUAUAGUGUAGUGCAAAUCAGCAUUCCAUUGUUUAAGCAGGAAUUUUCCUACAUUGGGUAGAGGGCAAUUCUAAACAGAAGAAUCAUAAAAAAUUUAAACUUUCAUUCAUGAGUUUUUCUGUUGACCAUAUUAGCUUUGAAGUUACGGGCAAUGAGUAUAAUUUAUAAUUACAUAUGAAAUUAUAAAAUAUU